Molecule: ribosomal RNA, 448 nt
Filed under: uncultured Planctomycetota bacterium
Lineage: Bacteria; Pseudomonadati; Planctomycetota
Description: bacterial SSU rRNA
Rfam family: Bacterial small subunit ribosomal RNA
Source: RNAcentral
GCUUAGAGAGGGGUCAAUGUCCUAUCAGCUAGUUGGUAAGGUAAUGGCUUACCAAGGCUAAGACGGGUAGCCGGCCUGAGAGGGUGGUCGGCCACACUGGGACUGAGACACUGCCCAGACUCCUACGGGAGGCUGCAGUCGAGAAUCUUUCGCAAUGCCCGAAAGGGUGACGAAGCGACGCCGCGUGUGGGAAGAAGGCCUUCGGGUUGUAAACCACUGUCGGGAGUUAAGAAAUGUAAGGGUGUUAAUAGCAUCCUUACUUGACUAAGGCUCCGGAGGAAGCCACAGCUAACUCUGUGCCAGCAGCCGCGGUAAUACAGAGGCGGCAAGCGUUGUUCGGAAUUAUUGGGCGUAAAGAGCACGUAGGCGGCUUUGUAAGUCAGUUGUGAAAGCCUUCCGCUUAACGGAAGAACAGCAUCUGAUACUGCAAGGCUAGAGUGCGGAAGGG